Molecule: small RNA, 29 nt
Filed under: Bombyx mori (domestic silkworm)
Lineage: Eukaryota; Metazoa; Arthropoda; Insecta; Lepidoptera; Bombycidae
Description: ovarian small RNA-5888
Source: RNAcentral
UACAAACUUUGGUGCAGUACUCGAUGGAA